GGCGCACGGGUGAGUAGCGCGUGGGUAAUCUACCUCUGCCUGGGGGAUAACACACCGAAAGGUGUGCUAAUACCGCAUAAUCCGGCGAACCUGCGGGUGAGUCGGCAAAGAUGGCCUCUUGACCAAAGCUGUCGGAUAGAGAUGAGCCCGCGUCCCAUUAGCUUGUUGGUAGGGUAACGGCCUACCAAGGCGACGAUGGGUAGCUGGUCUGAGAGGACGACCAGCCACACUGGAACUGGAACACGGUCCAGACUCCUACGGGAGGCAGCAGUGAGGAAUAUUGCGCAAUGGGGGAAACCCUGACGCAGCGAUGCCGCGUGGGUGAAGAAGGCUUUCGGGUCGUAAAGCCCUGUCAGGUGGGAAGAACAGUCUCUUAUUGAAUAGAUAGGAGGCAUGACGGUACCACCGAAGGAAGCACCGGCUAACUCCGUGCCAGCAGCCGCGGUAAGACGGAGGGUGCGAGCGUUAUUCGGAAUCAUUGGGCGUAAAGAGUGUGUAGGCGGCCGGUUAAGUCAGGUGUGAAAGCCCAGGGCUCAACCCUGGAAGUGCACUUGAAACUGGUCGGCUUGAGUUC
RNAcentral lists this ribosomal RNA (574 nucleotides) under uncultured delta proteobacterium. RNAcentral's name for it is "bacterial SSU rRNA". It matches the Rfam family "Bacterial small subunit ribosomal RNA", at positions 97 to 649 of the family's 1533-position model. The record is from RNAcentral. Lineage: Bacteria; Deltaproteobacteria.